AGUAACGCGUGGGUAACCUGCCCUUAAGUCUGGGAUACCAUUUGGAAACAGAUGCUAAUACCGGAUAAAAGCUACUUUCGCAUGAAAGAAGUUUAAAAGGCGGCGUAAGCUGUCGCUAAAGGAUGGACCUGCGAUGCAUUAGCUAGUUGGUAAGGUAACGGCUUACCAAGGCGAUGAUGCAUAGCCGAGUUGAGAGACUGAUCGGCCACAUUGGGACUGAUACACGGCCCAAACUCCUACGGGAGGCAGCAGCC
Molecule: ribosomal RNA, 254 nt
Filed under: uncultured Lactobacillus sp.
Lineage: Bacteria; Bacillati; Bacillota; Bacilli; Lactobacillales; Lactobacillaceae
Description: partial 16S ribosomal RNA
Rfam family: Bacterial small subunit ribosomal RNA
Source: RNAcentral